This 556-nucleotide ribosomal RNA is filed under the name uncultured archaeon. RNAcentral's name for it is "bacterial SSU rRNA". It matches the Rfam family "Archaeal small subunit ribosomal RNA", at positions 326 to 882 of the family's 1478-position model. The record is from RNAcentral.
CGGGGUGCAGCAGGCGCGAAAACUUUACAAUGCGGGAAACCGUGAUAAGGGGACACCGAGUGUCAGCAUCAUAUGCUGGCUGUCCAGGUGUGUAAAAUACAUCUGUUAGCAAGGGCCGGGCAAGACCGGUGCCAGCCGCCGCGGUAACACCGGCGGCCCGAGUGGUGGUCGUGAUUAUUGGGUCUAAAGGGUCCGUAGCCGGUUUGGUCAGUCCUCCGGGAAAUCUGAUAGCUCAACUAUUAGGCUAUCGGGGGAUACUACCAGACUUGGAACCGGGAGAGGUAAGAGGUACUACAGGGGUAGGAGUGAAAUCUUGUAAUCCCUGUGGGACCACCUGUGGCGAAGGCGUCUUACCAGAACGGGUUCGACGGUGAGGGACGAAAGCUGGGGGCACGAACCGGAUUAGAUACCCGGGUAGUCCCAGCCGUAAACGAUGCUCGCUAGGUGUCAGGCAUGGCGCGACCGUGUCUGGUGCCGCAGGGAAGCCGUGAAGCGAGCCACCUGGGAAGUACGGCCGCAAGGCUGAAACUUAAAGGAAUUGGCGGGGGAGCACAAG